Molecule: ribosomal RNA, 257 nt
Filed under: uncultured Glomus
Lineage: Eukaryota; Fungi; Glomeromycota; Glomeromycetes; Glomerales; Glomeraceae
Description: partial 18S ribosomal RNA
Rfam family: Eukaryotic small subunit ribosomal RNA
Source: RNAcentral
AAGCUCGUAGUUGAAUUUCGAGACCGGCUUACUGGUCGUGCUUUUGUACGUACUGGUGUAAUCGGUUUCUCCUUUCUGACGAAUUAUAAUGCCAUUAAUUUGGUGUUAUAGGGAAUCAGGACUGUUACUUUGAAAAAAUUAGAGUGUUUAAAGCAGGCUCACGCUUGAAUACAUUAGCAUGGAAUAACGGAAUAGGACGUUUGAUUCUAUUUUGUUGGUUUCUAGGAUCGACGUAAUGAUUAAUAGGGAUAGUUGGG